GAGGGGAAGGGGGAAAGGAGGGGGCUGGCUCUUGCUUAAACUCUUGAAACACUAGGAUUGGUUGGUUCAGGAAAAUGAAUUCUAUGACGCUGUUGUAAAACCACCUCUGAUUGGGCCGAUCCAAAAGCGGUGAUAACAAGCUGGAGAGUGUCAGAAGCAGGAAAUCUCCCUCCUUCUACAGAAAGACGGGCAAAGGGUUAAACCAGAAAAGCUGCCUCGUUUUACAAAAAGACUGCAAAGGUAAACAUUUUUUAAUUUUACCCUGAGCUUUAUUGUAUUUUUCUUAGCCACUUUUUUAUAGAGUUUUUACCCUGUGCUUACCGAACAGGCUUUCUCUUUGUCAAUUUUCCUUUUAAACCUCGUUUUUUCUUAACCUACAUUGGUAUUGACUAGCUUUUAUACGUUUUAUUCACUUUUAUUACACUGCCUUAGUACAUUUCCUUUUAAACCUAGUUUUUAAUGUUUUUAAAAGCCUUUUUCUUAGUACCCCUUUAUAGUUUUUGGCCAUUUGCUUACUUAACAGGUUUUGCUUCAGUCAAUUCCCCUUUUAAACCUAGCUGUAUUGUUUUUAAUAUUACUUAAUAAUAUUAAAAAGCUUUUUUUAACCUA
Long non-coding RNA from Gopherus flavomarginatus (Mexican gopher tortoise), 609 nucleotides. RefSeq lists it as uncharacterized. Lineage: Eukaryota; Metazoa; Chordata; Testudines; Testudinidae. The record is from RefSeq and is a predicted model, not a curated record. The transcript has 2 exons.